Molecule: long non-coding RNA, 262 nt
Organism: Galeopterus variegatus (Sunda flying lemur)
Lineage: Eukaryota; Metazoa; Chordata; Mammalia; Dermoptera; Cynocephalidae
Exons: 2
Source: RefSeq, a predicted model, not a curated record
GUGGGAAAUACUUUGAUGUCCGCCCAGUUCGCACGUGUGAACAGGGAUAAUGGGGACAAUGCCAACAUUGAAGCCCUCGGUUGGAGUCUGCACAGUUGGAGAUCUUUGGUGCCAUUUUAGACGUCUUUGGAUUUCAUCAAUCAAACUGACUGCAAUUUUCCAUAAAAACCCUGAAUUUGGGUCAGAAAGUGGGCAAAGUAGAUAAAGAUCAUUCGAGCUGUCUUAUAAGAUGAUAAAUAGAUAUCCUUUCAGGCCAACAAUG